CCCUUAGAUGUCCUGGGCCGCACGCGCGCUACACUGAUGCAUUCAACGAGUAUUUCCUUGGCCGAGAGGCCUGGGCAAUCUUUUAAACCUGCAUCGUGAUAGGGAUAGAUUAUUGCAAUUAUUAAUCUUGAACGAGGAAUUCCUAGUAAACGCAAAUCAUCAAUUUGCAUUGAUUACGUCCCUGCCCUUUGUAUACACCGCCCGUCGCACCUACCGAUUGAAUGGUCCGGUGAAAUCUCGGGAUUGUGGCCAGUUCACUUUAUUGGGAGUUGGCUGCGAGAACUUGCUUAAACCUUAUCAUUUAGAGGAAGGUGAAGUCGUAACA
Molecule: ribosomal RNA, 325 nt
Filed under: uncultured eukaryote
Lineage: Eukaryota
Description: partial 18S ribosomal RNA
Rfam family: Eukaryotic small subunit ribosomal RNA
Source: RNAcentral